Molecule: small RNA, 49 nt
Filed under: Arabidopsis thaliana (thale cress)
Lineage: Eukaryota; Viridiplantae; Streptophyta; Magnoliopsida; Brassicales; Brassicaceae
Description: ATSL226030
Source: RNAcentral
AUAAGGUAUCAUUCCGCCAAUGAGAACAAUACCAGUUAGAACAGUUGCC